UUGGUUUAUAACCAAGUCUGUUGAGCUAAUAUUUUUAUGUCAUCAGGUAUAUAUUCAUAAGAUAAUUGUUUCAGGAGGCUGGGCAAGACGGCUCAGUGUUUUAAGAGCACUGACUACUCUUCCAGGGGACCCAGGUUCAAUUCCCAGCACCCAUAUGGUAGCUCACAACUGUCUGUAACUCCAGGAUGUGACAUCUUCUCAUAGCCAUACAUGCAGACAAAAUACCAGUUGGACAUAAAAAUAAGUAAAUUAAAAAAAAAAAGAUAAUUGUUUCAAGGGUUUCUGAAAUAGUAUCAAAGACCCAAAACUGCUUUAAAAACUGUGGAAUGCUUUUCUGGUCUCUACACGAACAACUUGGACAUUCCCAUUGUGGCUGGCUUAUGUUUAUUCCAAGGGGCAGUGCCAUGCCAUAUCAGUCAUUAAAGUAUAUAUAAAAUAUGGAUGAGUCCAUUCUUUGUAAUCUGAUUUUCACUACAAGAGUGACCUUUAAGUACUGACUGGUGAUGCCAGCUCACACCAUUACAGUGAAACAUGAACCCCCGGUAAAACCCAGACGGUGCCUGCUGCUUACACUGAAGCUGGGACACCGGAGGAGACACCAGUGCCCUUCCCUGCUACUGGAGUUCCGGGCUUAAGCAGCUAUUGUUGAGAGCUCAGGAGGGAGGCUGAACAACACAUUGGCGGUAUUUCCUGGGUGAAGGUUAUCUUUUCCUCCAAACAAAGGAUUUAAAGUGAGUUCGGAAGCCAGAUGUCUUGAGGAUGCCACCUCUCUUUUGUCUGACCCUCAUGGUUUCUGCCACAGCCCUCUAAUGACCCACUCUAAUGGCGUGAGCGCUGCAGCUUUCUGAAUUUGUGACACAUCUUUUUUUCAUGAAUAAUUUAAAUCUCUAAGUGGCAAUUGAUUUUUUUUUUUAAAGUAAUGUAUUCGUAGUGCGGUCUCUAAAGUCAAUGUUAAAUGUUACAUGAAAUCUGAAGGAGGCAUGUGUCUGUUUUACAAUUUUAACGGUUUUCAUGCACUGAAAAUAAGUUGUUUUUUGUAUUGCUUAUCCUAAAAUAUGGUGGAAGUACUAUUUUACUUUCAAGGACAGGAACAGUGGCUUGCAGAGUGUGUAGUUUUCAGCCAGGAGUCUAAUGGAUUCAGGAGGACUCAUUUAUGGCAGAUGCCUUCUAAAUUUUCAUGUUAAGUUGCCAUUUUGUGACAUCGAGGACACGUUUGUUAUUUCCAAUGGAUUGGUGACUCCCUGGAGCCUCUCUGCGUCUCAGUUUUCUGUGUGUGGCUACAUCUGGUGUGAUACAUUAUCCCCUUCAGUCUGAUGAAUAAUACCAGCCCUUCUCACCCUGAGACAAUGAAGCAGACAGAUUGCAGCUCAAGGGGCAUUCCCCAACCCCCUUCCACAGCUGAUCAUGACAGUUGUGUCCCCCUCCCAGCGAGGCUGGCCCCAGGAACAUCCCCUCUACCCCUUUCUCUGCCAAUGGACAGCUUUCCUUUGUCGCACUGCUUGGCUGUGCCCAUUGUUUGGGCCUGCUGCUUGGUACACGGGGCAGCUUUCCUCAAUAGCACCUUGGAUGGUGGUGUUUUUUUCUUUGUCUGAAGUGUAAGCUUCAUUUAAAUUACGACCUCAAGUUUCAUCUAAACAACGGCUUUUAUUAACAUCAAGCCUCAUGGAUCUAGUCAUUUUGACAGACACACUAACUCAAGACAAUGGUCUUUGCCUCAUGUAAACUCAUGACCAAUUCCUGCUUAGACUUUCUCUUCCGUCCCCAUUCAUUUCCUUGUCAUUUGGGUCCUGGAAGUACUUAUUUGUGGGCCAGUUUAUGUUUAAUGGGUUUGCUGAUUGUUUAGAGCAAUUUGGAAGCUCACUGGACCACUAGAUUCUUGUUCUUUAUUUUGUAGCAGAUGGGGAAUUUACUGGGGGGCUAUUAGUUAAAGUCAGGUGACCUGGGGUGCUCUGGUUGUUAAGGGAGGGAUAUAAUGGGUGUCACUUUUUUCUGAAACUGUUGAGUGCAUCGUAGUUAUCAAUAGUCACUGUAGUAAGGCAUUAUGGUGGAGCUAGCCGCCGCCUCCCUCCCUGCCUUCUUUAUUCUUUCCCUAUUCUCUCUCUACUAAAUCAACAGCUUCAUUCAAAACUUGUUCUUCCUAGGGCUGGCUAUGAUGAGCACCAAGAGGAGGAGGGCCUUCAUGUGUAUCAGUUUUUCUUAGCUCAAAAUGAAUCACGCAUCGGUAGUCCAGUGAACUUAUUUAUGGGAAAUUCCAGAAGUUAACAUACUGUCUGAGGCCAGUCGGGUUCUGUUAUGCCCUUGCAAACUGUUAAGAGCUCGAAUGUUAGUGUAAAAGAAUCAUUGGAACUUUGACUAUUUUAGGAUUUAAGAAAAGAAAAAAAAUCUUUAGAUUCUUUUUUACCUUCAUGUUUGGUUGAUGUUGAUGAUGGAUGGGAAGACAUGGCCUAGUGUAGUUCGUGUUGACUUUGAACUUGCUAUGUGGCUGUGGUUAGCACUGGAGUCCUGAUCCUCUGGCCUCCACCUUCCAAAUGCUGGAUUAUAGGCACAUGUUGAAAGAACCUAGUGGGGAAACCCCCACUCAGCUCCCGAUUCGGCGUGCACCCAAGAAUCACGAAUAGAACACAACACCUUGAUGUAACAACACGAGGUAUUUUAAUGGCGGAGCUCCGGGUCGAAACGUAUCUCACACAGGAGACAGUGGAUUCGACCACGAGGCUUGGAAGCUAGGGGUUUUUAUAGAAAAGGAGUGGGGCUGGGGAGGAAUUGGCGCGGUUUCACAUGAUUGGUCCAUUUAAACAUCAGCAGCCUGUAACAUUUAACUUAGGUCAGAGGGGUGGGAGAUAGGGAGGCGAUGGGCCUGCCCGGGCAUGUCCUGGUCUGUUCUGCUAUGUUCUCAGCCCCAGGUUUCAAAGCUCACAAACAAGUCUUUGGGCUAUUUGACAUACAUUACAUGAAUCACAGGUCUCAAGUUUUAUUUCCUUUCAAUGUCACCACACCAGGCUAAACAUUCAUACUGAGUGCAUUCAGAGUCUGUAUGUAAGUAAGGUUAUGGGAAGAAAUGGUUAAACUGCUUAACCACGAGAUAGCCCCAUCCGGGGAAUUGAACAUCCAGACUUGAAUGCCUGUCUGUUGGAACUUCCUAGGGCAUCUGUUGGGUUCUCAUGGGAUACACGGACUUGUAAUUUCAGUUUAAAGAGUUUAGGGUUGUGAGGCUCCAAGUGUGGUCACCAGAGUGUGUUUUAUAGACACACAUUUUUCUUUUCUUUUUGAGAUUAUAAUGUAAUACGCCAUUUGCCUCUUCCUUUCAAAGUGUGUGUUUUAAAUAUGUAAAUCCAGAGUCCUCUUUGCAGUAGUUGGGCCUGAAUCACAUAAAAAAGAGUCCAGGGAUCUCCAUUUCUCUCAGGUUUGUUUUUUUUUUUUUUUAAUGCUUAUUUUCCAUUCUGAAAACCCUGAACAGUUGGCAUGAGCAGGUGGCUCCAGGUGCUCUUUAGAGUCCCUUGGGAAUGUUAAUUUUCCAGCAGCUUUGACCCAGCCUCACCACCCUAACUGAAUUGUUCUAGAGCGCAGCCAGGGAGCCCUGGGAGGCUGUAGGAUGCGAUUAUGUGCUCUGCAGUGGAGUGGAGUGGAGAGGCAGUGUCCUUAGAACUAGACAACCUAACACUGAAGGUGGCGGCACCCAGUUAACUGAAUCGGGGAUGUAAUUGACUUGGUAUUUUCUGUCAGUGUCAGGCUGAGGUGGGAGUGGAGAAGUGUGCUAAUGGUGUGGAGCUGCUGCUCAGGGCACUGAAGAAUUCCUGAAAAAGGAUGGUGCUGAUGGUCAUACAACUUUACGAAUAUAAUUAAUGUCACUGG
RNAcentral lists this long non-coding RNA (3852 nucleotides) under Mus musculus (house mouse). Lineage: Eukaryota; Metazoa; Chordata; Mammalia; Rodentia; Muridae. The record is from RNAcentral.